ACGAACGCUGGCGGCGUGCCUAAUACAUGCAAGUUGAGCGCUGAAGGUUGGUACUUGUACCAACUGGAUGAGCAGCGAACGGGUGAGUAACGCGUGGGGAAUCUGCCUUUGAGCGGGGGACAACAUUUGGAAACGAAUGCUAAUACCGCAUAAAAACUUUAAACACAAGUUUUAAGUUUGAAAGAUGCAAUUGCAUCACUCAAAGAUGAUCCCGCGUUGUAUUAGCUAGUUGGUGAGGUAAAGGCUCACCAAGGCGAUGAUACAUAGCCGACCUGAGAGGGUGAUCGGCCACAUUGGGACUGAGACACGGCCCAAACUCCUACGGGAGGCAGCAGUAGGGAAUCUUCGGCAAUGGACGAAAGUCUGACCGAGCAACGCCGCGUGAGUGAAGAGGGUUUUCGGAUCGUAAAACUCUGUUGGUAGAGAAGAACGUUGGUGAGAGUGGAAAGCUCAUCAAGUGACGGUAACUACCCAGAAAGGGACGGCUAACUACGUG
This 496-nucleotide ribosomal RNA is filed under the name uncultured bacterium. RNAcentral describes it as "partial 16S ribosomal RNA". It matches the Rfam family "Bacterial small subunit ribosomal RNA", at positions 29 to 507 of the family's 1533-position model. The record is from RNAcentral.